AUUGACCAAAUAUAGGCCCCAGGAUCCGUCACCCUUAGCCUAUAAAUAAAAACACCAUUUCAAUCCUGAUUUUAAGUUCUAAAUAAAUAAAUUGUGUUUUCUUAACUAUUUGCUUAGAGAAACUACAAAAAACAACAAAACAAAAAAUGGCAAAGAUCGCGUUCGUGUUGAUUCUCUCACUGGUGUUGCUUAUUUCAGUCCAUGCGGUGUUGGGUGAUGACAAUUUCAUGGAAACUGCCAAGGGUGCGGCCGAGAGCAUGUCUGAAUCUGCUUCGGAUGCCUUGAAGGAAGCAAAGGAGACAACAUCAACAUGGGGUGAUUGGUUUAAGGACAAAUUCCAGUAAGUCAUCGCUUUUUUUUUUUUGUGGUUUACUGUUUUUAUUUACAUUGUCAAAUUUAUUAGAUUGAGUGUGUAUUAACUCAUGUUUAGUUUCUAGUGAUGUGGGUUUGGGAUCGGACGACCAUGAUCACAGCUCAAAGACACCGGAAUCAGGGUAAUCUGGUUGUCAUAAUUUUACGGUUGUAAUUACUUUGUUUUUUGUGGACCAAGAUUUGCCUCGUUUAAUCUUAUUGAUGAGGUGGAAUAUCCGAUGGUUUGUAUACGUAGAAAUAAGAAAUGUGGCCCAUGGAUAUCUGAUGGCUUUUGCUUGUGAAAUGGUAGAUUUCUGUAUAUUCUUUGUAAAAUAAGAGAUUCAAUAAUAUGUUGUAAUUAAAUCAUAUUUAUACAAUUUUUGCACCCAGCUUUGUUUUUAAUGUAACAGAUAAUAAUAAUUGGCAGAAUCAAAUCUAAUAUGGGUACCACUAUUAACCAAUUUAGUUACAAAUUUUUUUGCUAUGGGGCUCGUUCCAUUGAAAAUUUGAUUUGGAAUUUCAAAGACAUUGACAAUUAGUUGAGGUAAUUGUGAAAUCCCGCUCUUAGAUUUCAUUGUUAUAAUCUACGUAUUUGUAUUAUUGAGAUUUUAUACUAUUUUUUCGAGGAUUUAAAUUAAUUUUAUAUUUUAAUUACUUAAGUACAAAGUUGAACUUUUGAAAAAUAAUCAUUUAUAAUCCGUAGACCUUCAAGGGUCACUCUUUAUGUUUUUUAAUUUAGCCUGACAUUACGAGCGCGUAGGCGAAGGCUGUUCGUGAAUCGAGACGAGGAAGGAGAAGUUACGGACGUUAGAAGUUUCUUAAAUAAAAUAUGAAUUUAAGAUUAUUGGGGUUCCCAUUAAUUUGGAAGGGGACCAAUUAGAAAAGAAAGAAAGAAA
RNAcentral lists this long non-coding RNA (1247 nucleotides) under Malus domestica (apple). RNAcentral describes it as "long non-coding RNA (MDOM_LNC014438)". Lineage: Eukaryota; Viridiplantae; Streptophyta; Magnoliopsida; Rosales; Rosaceae. The record is from RNAcentral.